UACGGAGGGGGCUAGCGUUGUUCGGAAUUACUGGGCGUAAAGCGCGCGUAGGCGGUUUUCCAAGUUGGAGGUGAAAUCCCGGGGCUUAACCCCGGAACUGCCUUCAAAACUGGAUGACUAGAAGCCGAGAGAGGUAAGGGGAAUUCCUAGUGUAGAGGUGAAAUUCGUAGAUAUUAGGAAGAACACCAGUGGCGAAGGCGCCUUACUGGCUCGGUCUUGACGCUGAGGUGCGAAAGUGUGGGGAGCAAACAGG
Molecule: ribosomal RNA, 253 nt
Filed under: uncultured bacterium
Lineage: Bacteria
Description: partial 16S ribosomal RNA
Rfam family: Bacterial small subunit ribosomal RNA
Source: RNAcentral